GUGAGGAAUAUUGCGCAAUGGAGGCAACUCUGACGCAACCAUGCCGCGUGCAGGAAGAAGGCGCUACGCGUUGUAAACUGCUUUUAACCGGGAAGAAACCCCAGGACGUGUCCUGGGUUGACGGUACCGGAGGAAUAAGCACCGGCUAACUUCGUGCCAGCAGCCGCGGUAAUACGAAGGGUGCAAGCGUUAUCCGGAUUCAUUGGGUUUAAAGGGUGCGUAGGCGGAGCGUUAAGUCAGUGGUGAAAUCCUGCAGCUUAACUGUAGACUUGCCAUUGAUACUGGCGCUCUUGAGUGCGCUUGAAGUGGGCGGAAUGUGCCGUGUAGCGGUGAAAUGCUUAGAUAUGGCACAGAACACCAAUUGCGAAGGCAGCUCACUAAGGCGAUACUGACGCUGAGGCACGAAAGCGUGGGGAUCGAACAGGAUUAGAAACCCGGGUAGUCC
Molecule: ribosomal RNA, 445 nt
Filed under: uncultured bacterium
Lineage: Bacteria
Description: partial 16S ribosomal RNA
Rfam family: Bacterial small subunit ribosomal RNA
Source: RNAcentral